UAUCCUUGGUUUCCGGCAAAAAUGACACCCUCAGCCGGAGCAUAUUGAUGA
Molecule: regulatory RNA element, 51 nt
Organism: Citrobacter rodentium ICC168
Lineage: Bacteria; Pseudomonadati; Pseudomonadota; Gammaproteobacteria; Enterobacterales; Enterobacteriaceae
Rfam family: PyrC leader
Source: Rfam